Molecule: small nucleolar RNA, 132 nt
Organism: Apodemus sylvaticus (European woodmouse)
Lineage: Eukaryota; Metazoa; Chordata; Mammalia; Rodentia; Muridae
Product: small nucleolar RNA SNORA17
Exons: 1
Source: RefSeq, a predicted model, not a curated record
CUUGUCUCUUGAAGUGUUGUAGAUGUGUCUACUGUGUUACAAGUGCAUCAGUAGGUAGCAGAGAGGAGAGAGGCUAUGCCUAUGCUCAGUGUUCUGACUUAUGAACAUCUGAAAGAUUAAUAGCCUAAUAUU